GACGAACGCUGGCGGCAUGCCUAAUACAUGCAAGUCGAGCGAACAGAUGAAGUGCUUGCACUUCUGACGUCAGCGGCGAACGGGUGAGUAACACGUAAGGAAUCUACCUAUAAGCGGGGGAUAACAUUCGGAAACGGGUGCUAAUACCGCAUAAUAUCUUCUUCCGCAUGGAAGAAGAUUGAAAGACGGCUCUGCUGUCACUUAUAGAUGACCUUGCGGUGCAUUAGUUAGUUGGUGGGGUAACGGCCUACCAAGACGAUGAUGCAUAGCCGAACGGAGAGGGGGAUCGGCCACAUUGGGACUGAGAAACGGCCCAAACUCCUACGGGAGGCAGCAGUAGGGAAUCUUCCGCAAUGGGCGAAAGCCUGACGGAGCAAGGCCGCGUGAGUGAAGAAGGCCUUCGGGUCGUAAAACUCUGUUAUAAGAGAAGAACAAAUUGUAGAGUAACUGCUACAGUCUUGACGGUAUCUUAUCAGAAAGCCACGGCUAACUACGUGCCAGCCGCCGCCGUAA
This 513-nucleotide ribosomal RNA is filed under the name uncultured bacterium. Its description in RNAcentral is "partial 16S ribosomal RNA". It matches the Rfam family "Bacterial small subunit ribosomal RNA", at positions 28 to 523 of the family's 1533-position model. The record is from RNAcentral.